GAUGAACGCUAGCGGCAGGCCUAAUACAUGCCAGUCGAGGGGUAUGGGUUGCUUGCAACCCAGAGACCGGCGCACGGGUGCGUAACGCGUAUGCAAUCUACCUUAAUCAGGGGGAUAGCCCGGAGAAAUCCGGAUUAACACCGCAUAACAUUGAGUUGUGGCAUCACAGUUCAAUCAAAUAUUUAUAGGAUUAAGAUGAGCAUGCGUGACAUUAGUUAGUUGGUGAGGUAACGGCUCACCAAGACCACGAUGUCUAGGGGAUCUGAGAGGAUGACCCCCCACACUGGUACUGAGACACGGGCCAGACUCCUACGGGAGGCAGCAGUAAGGAAUAUUGGUCAAUGGGCGCAAGCCUGAACCAGCCAUGCCGCGUGCAGGAAGACGGCCCUAUGGGUUGUAAACUGCUUUUGUACCGGAAUAAACCUUCUCUUGCGAGAGAAGCUGAACGUACGGUAAGAAUAAGGAUCGGCUAACUCCGUG
Molecule: ribosomal RNA, 480 nt
Filed under: uncultured bacterium
Lineage: Bacteria
Description: partial 16S ribosomal RNA
Rfam family: Bacterial small subunit ribosomal RNA
Source: RNAcentral